GGAUCUGAGGGUGAUCUGGCAGCGAUAUCCAUCACUCCAUUGAUCACCAGGGUUGAUUCUGGCUGGCUUGGUGGGUGUCUUCUUCCUCCCUCACUGUUCCAUGGGUGUCCCUCUCAGAGCUGUUUACCUUCCCCAAUAGAGACAGGCCAGUCUUUGGCCAAGGGUAUACGAGUAGCUGCGCCCCCUUGCUAGUACCUCCAAACAAGUUCUCAAGAUCUAAAGUCAGUCCUCAUAAUAGGCCUGUGAACUAGACAUGGUCAUGGCUGCUGCUGCGUUGUGCCCAU
RNAcentral lists this small nuclear RNA (284 nucleotides) under Erinaceus europaeus (western European hedgehog). Its description in RNAcentral is "7SK RNA". It matches the Rfam family "7SK RNA". From Rfam's summary of the family: 7SK was discovered as an abundant small nuclear RNA in the mid-70s but a possible function has only recently been suggested. The record is from Rfam by way of RNAcentral. Lineage: Eukaryota; Metazoa; Chordata; Mammalia; Eulipotyphla; Erinaceidae.